Bactrocera neohumeralis is the source of this 2356-nucleotide long non-coding RNA. RefSeq lists it as uncharacterized. The transcript is spliced from 2 exons. Lineage: Eukaryota; Metazoa; Arthropoda; Insecta; Diptera; Tephritidae. The record is from RefSeq and is a predicted model, not a curated record.
AUUUAUUAUCUCAUUACACAUCUACAAUGAAGCGAAUAUAGCCGUCGUUCGACAACAGAUGAUUGAUUUAUUGUCUGUCACCAUUUAUGUACAUAUGCAAGGUGCGUUCCAAAGUAAACAGAACUUAAAAAAAAAAAACAGAACAAAUAGUUUUUUCAACAAAAUGAAUUUAUUUUAUUCAAAAUAGUCUCCUUCUGCUUCAAUACAGUCGCACGGUGCCAUAUCAGGUGAAUACGAGGAGUGAUUAAUGAUUAAAAUGUAAUUUUUGGUCAAAUAAUCGUCCUUCGAAUGUUGGAUUCUGAGCAAUUUUUGGUCAUCAGUCAGUUUGUACGGAACAAACCAGGCACACAGCUUUCGUAAGCCUAAAUGUUCAGUCAAAAUGCGAUAAAUCGAAGUUUUGGAGAUGUUCAAUUCCACUUCCAUGAAUUUCAAUGAUGAUUUCGACUGAUUUUUGAUGAAUUCACGCACAGUUUCGAUGGAAUUUCCGGUGAUUGCGGAUUUUGUUUGGCUCACAUGUUGAUCGUCAUUUAUGUCCUCACGACCACUUUGAAAACGUUGACACCAAUCAUCGCCAUAAACUUGUUUCAUCAAUUGAAACGUUUCGGUACAAGUUUUACCAAUUUUAAAACAAAAUUUAUUGUUGGCUCUUUCUUCGAAGCUCAUUUUCGCACCGAUAACUCAAACAUACUGACAUUUAAAACGCAAUAACUUUACUUCCAAUCAAUGAAAUGUCAUGAAAUUCUCACUGGACAAUUGAUAAAGAUAGCAAAUUCUAAGGCACUAGUCGGGAUAUAGAUGGCGCUACCAGGGGGCGCUAGAUUCAAAAAGUCCUGUUUACUUUGGAACGCACCUUGUAUUAUUAAAUACUAUUAGAAAAGUCGUGCCUUUUUAAAAACGAGUACCUCUAUUACGUUUUCAACUCCACUCAGUUGAAUUGAAGUUAAUGCAACCAUAUUAAUUUUUGGUAUUACGAACUUCAACUAUUUUCAGUCGAUAAUACAUGUUGUCAGACUAGAAAGUUAAGAUUUUAAAGUUAAUACCACAACAAUUCACUGCAGUUUUUGCUCAGGAAAAGGUGAAUAAUUAUUAAAAACUGAUAUAUUACAAUGACAAAACGUUGGGGCUAAAUGAUGUGCUGAGCAUAAGAAAAAGCCUAUGUGAUUAAAUCCGUUGUAAUUUCCUAACAUCAAGUAAGUCAGAGGUUUUCUUGCAGAUUUUUAAGUAAUUGUCUUUUAAAUGAAGAAGAAUUUAGUUUUUUUCUAAAUGAGGUGACGGAACAUUACCACAAACUCUUUUUCCUUGCUGCCGAUAGUUAAUCAUAAAUGAUUUUAACUUUGGGCUGAAACAACUUGCGAUAUACAUAUGUACAUAUGUAUAUAGACGUUACAAAAAAUGAUUUUAAAUAUGAGGGAAAUUCAGAAUCUUUUGCAUCUGAGUUUGCAAAAUUAUGAAAUUGCAAAUAUUUACCAUCAACAAUGAACGUCUUUUUUGUGGUUUCUGUGCAACCCUUGCAAAGACCAUUAAUUCACAGCUGAUCGGCGAAGAAAAACAUUGUUUGUAAACAAAAUUUUUGCACAAAUUGGAAAAUGUGCCGAAAAAAAGUUUUAGGGAAAAAUUAACUGACGCUUUAAUUAAUGAAGCUGCUGAAGAAAUUAUGGACAUUGAUGAAAUCGAAAGUGAUGAUGACGCAGUGGAUGCAGUUUUAGAUGAAUUGGCUGACAAUAUAUCUGUUAUGGAAUGUCGACGAGGAGUUUACUGCACAAUACCUAAGUCAGACAUUUAUCGCAAUAAUAUUUUGACAACACUGGACGAAGACCGAUUCCGCCAAAUGUUAAGAGUAGAUAGAGACCAAUAUAAGGUGCUGGUUGAGUUAAUAAAAAACGAUGAGCAAUUCAACAAAGCGCGCUCAUGUAAGCAAUUUUCUGUAGAAUAGCAAUUAGCAAUCACAUUGUUUCGAUUGUGUUUGUGGGAGAAAGCGCAGCAUAUAGAAAAAUAGCGACAAUUUUGAAGAUUGAAGACCAUAUAUCAUACUUCUCCAGAAAUCACAUAUAUUCAAUAAAAGCACAUAAAAGUGACUAUAAACGAGUAAUUCGACAUGUUGUGGUUGGUCACCCUGGGAGCUGGCAUGAUGCCCGUAUAUAUGCUGUAUUCUCUUCAACAUUUUUAUUAAUAAUGGUUCCACUUCGUCCGAUGACGGUUCAGAUUCGUCCACCACUACGGAAGAUUCUAUUGAACCUGAUGACCAUAUACUCAACAAUGUUGGAGAAAUUAAAAGACAAAAUUAAAUGUAAUUUAAUUCAUUUGUCAGUUUUUAAUUACAUAUAUUUUUACAUAAAACUAUUGUAUACAAAAUAAA